UAGAGAAAAUAAUGUCUCAUGACAGAUAUCUCAUAUAUACAUACAGCAUGUUUCAAAAGUACCAUAGGCACUGUCAUGUUUUGUAUGCUAAUAUGCCGUCCGGUGAUGCGUCUGCGCGUAAUUAUAGAUCGAUCACGGUCUCGUAGCGUUGCGACGUUCCGUGGAGCACCGUGAUGUGAACCCCACUGUAUAUCAGAGAACAGCAUACGAUUCACACGGGUUGCAUAUAUCUCUCUCGUUACAACGAAUUCCAUUGGAGGUCGUUACAGUGCUGUAAAAAUGUCAAUCUCGCGAUAAUCAAGGUGACGGGAUUAAUCGGUCGAUUAAUCACCAGUAUUUCAUUGAUCUCUUGCAGUUGGUGUUGGAAUACAGUGCGACAGGUGGGAUAACGUUGAGCUGUCAAAUGGCGAGUCUGGCGGGGAGCUCGACAGGCUUCAUGAGGCCGCCGACUAUGUUAGAGCAACUACUGGAAGAAAUAAAUUUCCAAAGAACAAAAGAAAUGCGACAGCUUCUAAAAGACGAUUCGGGUUUCGUGAUGCUCCAGGGCACGACUUAUUGGACGGAUCUGUUCGUACGUCACUUCCUUUUCCAGGCUGAGCACACCAUUGACGGUGAUGACCUCCUUUUCUUCGUGCGCAAAAAGCACGUGAAAACGUCCUCUAGAUAUUUACCAAAAUUUGAGACGGAGGUUGACGUCUUCCGCAAAGACAGCAAAAAACUACCGAUUGGCGAUCCUGACAUCGAUUGGGAGGAGACUGUUUAUCUUAAUCUUGUAGUACAUCAAUUCGAUUAUACUCUAACACUGGCAAUAUGUACCAGGACUAGUCCCAAGGAAUUGCAAGUCCUCAGAAGACACUCACAAAAAGUCUAUGCCAGUCCAAGUCGACGGCGAAUGGAUGCGAAGGGUGAUCUCGAGGAAAUGACCUAUCCGCACAUCUGCUUCAUGGUAGACAAUUUCGAUGAAGUAUUCUGUGAUAUUUUAGUCAGGGAUGGGGAGAUGGUCUGCGUCGAAUUAGUUGCCUCUGAUAGAGACGGUGCCGUGCAGGGCGUCAUUUUUCUUGGAUCCAUCAGAUACGACGCCUUGAAGAAGGUCUAUGAUGCUAGGUCGAGUCUGAGCACAAAAAUGGCGCAGCGUAUGACAUUUGGCUUGUUCUCUGGUGCAGCAUCUCAGAGAAUUGAAUUUGUCAGGAUGAAAGGACCCCAGGGAAAAGGUCACGCUGAAAUGGCCGUUACGAAACCAAAAGGUUCAGGUGCAGAAACGCCGACCUCAGAACCAGGUUACUGCGCCACCGACGCGCUUUGGGACGCUGAUUGGGAUGACGCUGAGGAACUAUUUAUGUAUCGUCAUCAACGAAGAUUAUCCGAUCCCAGUGCCAAUUUGAAUAAUUUUGUUCGCGGUGGAUGGCGAACCAAACCCGAUAGUGCCGCCACUAAGGCACGAUCCGAAAACGAAGGACUGGACUCAAUGGCGAAUGGCCUCAGUGAAAUAGAAGCGGGCGACGUACGAGAUGCGGAAGGACAGGAUAGCAGCUGGGGCGGCCGGGGCUCACCAGCAGACUCUCACAGGAACAGCCGCAGUCCUCGGUGUCAACGUAGAAGAUCGCCGCAACUUCUGAGCCGUCAUGCCAACCGGAAGCAACGUAAUACACGGGAGUCAGAAAAUGAAAAUGAAAUUGGGCCAAGGGGCAAGGAGGCCUAUCACGAGGCUCGCGGCCCCCAGAAUCAUCAUAUCGAGGUUGGCAGUGAGAUUCUACCACCGGGCACCUGCCUGACGGAUGACAAUGUCAGACAAAAACUGGACGCCGGGGCCAUUUUGGUACACGGAAAGGAGGAGUUGCCGCUCAAUUAUGAAGCCGACGAGAAUAAUGCGAGCACAAAUCAUCAUCAGCAUCAUCAUAGCCAUCGUCGUGAUCCUCGUCAUCGUCAUCCCGCUGAGAACGACAGGGACAACGAAGACGCGCACAGGAUCGUCCUUGGAAAUUCAGAAGGACAUCAUCUAAGUGUGGAGGAUCUUCGUGGACGGAUGAGCGACGCGGGAAACGACGCUGCUCUCGGCAUCGAGCAUGAGGAGUCGCGCAAGAAUAAAAACAAAAAUGAAUCACCAGCUAGAGACAGAAACGCUAAUGCCAAGUUACCACGAGGAGCGAAUGGCUGCACCACGCAAAGGCAGAGCGCCACUUUACCAAGGAGACGACGCAGACGAGCGCUAUCUGGUAGUGUUACUGGCAAUCCUCUGCCACCCCACCGUGUCACUCCUGAUGGCACAGCGAUCUACUAUUGGUGCGAGCUCCCGCGCCGCCCCGGCUCUCAGGGUAAUUCUCUUCUCGCCAUUAUUAUUCACACUUUUAACUUUUUCAAUAUUUCACACUUUUUUUUAUAUAUGCAUAUAUACUACAAAACACACAAACACGCACACUGCUGUGUCACGUAAUUGUAAGCAGCUAAUAAUCCAAAGGGUUUCCGGAGUCCAUUCCUUCUCCACAAAUUAUUUUGCUGGUCCAGUGCUUCUCUACGUAGUCGCACCCCUGAUCCUCCAUAGCUCUGACAGUAAUGAUACCUGCUCGUAACGUUAUUAUUAUUAUUACUGUUAUCAUUCUUGUUGGUACAACAUGGCCUUAGCUUGAACUCUGCGUGUUUCACGUACGUACCUUAUAUAUCGCUUGCAACAAAGUCAGACAUAUGUAUGUUAUGCCUACAUAUGUACUUACACAUACGUUAUAGCGCUUUGAUCAGGAGCAAUCCUGAACUUUCAGAAACCAAAAGUAAUAGACGUGAUAAAAGUUUAUUGAAACAUCUCUUCGUACACGCUGAUUUUAUUUGCUAUUGGUCGUUCAGCGCCUCGUCAAGGUCUUCGAGGGUCUUAAGGGUUGUUGUUUAAGGGACCUUUCAUGAUGGGGUUAGGGGCUUCGUGCAAGAAGUUAGGAAGGUGUAGUGACCGGUCUGCUGUCUGUCUGCUGACAGAGUUGGACGACGGGGCUUACAAUCCCCUGUGGACGAUGCGAGGAUUUACGCAAACCUUUCACUUCUGGAAGGAAACCAGGCGAGCACAAUCCGUCCCACUCAACGCCUUCCUUACGUACAUCACCCUGCCCUGGUGGAGUAUAGCUAAAGAUAUACUGGAUCAUCGAGAGGGUCCGAUUUUAACAUUCUAGCUGAGGUCUUCUGGAUAUCCGAUUGAACAACCAUUUUGAAUUUCAGUCGUUCUUUUUUUUUUACUUUGUACAAGACGAAGAUCAAUUGUUGAAUGAUUACAAUGUAUAAAUCGCAUUAAUAUAUUACAUGCCAUUUAUAAUAA
This is an RNA transcript of Cephus cinctus (wheat stem sawfly), 3295 nucleotides long. RefSeq lists it as uncharacterized. NCBI's taxonomy places the organism in Eukaryota, Metazoa, Arthropoda, Insecta, Hymenoptera, Cephidae. The record is from RefSeq and is a predicted model, not a curated record. The transcript is spliced from 8 exons.